AUUGAACGCUGGCGGCAUGCCUUACACAUGCAAGUCGAACGGCAGCACGGGGGCAACCCUGGUGGCGAGUGGCGAACGGGUGAGUAACAUAUCGGAACAUACCCUAGAGUGGGGGAUAACGUAGCGAAAGUUACGCUAAUACCGCAUACGAUCUAAGGAUGAAAGUGGGGGAUCUUCGGACCUCAUGCUCAUGGAGUGGCCGAUAUCUGAUUAGCUAGUUGGUGAGGUAAAGGCUCACCAAGGCGACGAUCAGUAGCUGGUUUGAGAGAACGACCAGCCACACUGGAACUGAGACACGGUCCAGACUCCUACGGAGGCAGCAGUGGGGAAUUUUGGACAAUGGGGGCAACCCUGAUCCAGCAAUGCCGCGUGAGUGAAGAAGGCCUUCGGGUU
RNAcentral lists this ribosomal RNA (393 nucleotides) under uncultured bacterium. RNAcentral describes it as "bacterial SSU rRNA". It matches the Rfam family "Bacterial small subunit ribosomal RNA", at positions 30 to 424 of the family's 1533-position model. The record is from RNAcentral.